RNAcentral lists this ribosomal RNA (253 nucleotides) under uncultured bacterium. RNAcentral describes it as "partial 16S ribosomal RNA". It matches the Rfam family "Bacterial small subunit ribosomal RNA", at positions 524 to 776 of the family's 1533-position model. The record is from RNAcentral.
UACGGGGGGGGCAAGCGUUGUUCGGAAUUACUGGGCGUAAAGGGUUUGUAGGUGGCCCGCUAAGUCACACGUGAAAUCCCUCAGCUUAACCGGGGAACUGCGUCUGAUACUGGAUGGCUAGAGGUUGGGAGAGGGAUGCGGAAUUCCAGGUGUAGCGGUGAAAUGCGUAGAUAUCUGGAGGAACACCGGUGGCGAAGGCGGCAUCCUGGACCAAUUCUGACGCUGAGGAGCGAAAGCCAGGGGAGCAAACGGG